Molecule: long non-coding RNA, 2153 nt
Filed under: Nicotiana benthamiana
Lineage: Eukaryota; Viridiplantae; Streptophyta; Magnoliopsida; Solanales; Solanaceae
Description: long non-coding RNA (NBEN_LNC038062)
Source: RNAcentral
CAGAACCCCACUCAUUUUCACUUCCCAAUCCCAAACUAACGAAAUCCAAGCCGCCUAAACCCCUCCCCCCAACAUUUCUGCCGCCAGAAAUCGCCUCACGGUGGCGGAACUUCCCUAAACCCCGCCAAACUAACACCAGCCAACCACCAUCUCCUCCUUUUUUCCGUAUCUCGUACUCACUCCCUUUAAAAAACCCAGAAACCCCCAAAUUUCAUAUCUAAACAAAACCCUAGUUCUGUUGUGUCUUUGAUUUUUCAUUCAAUCUCGGUCCAUUUGAACCCAAGACCUACAUCAAUCAAUUUCUCUUGAUGAGAGAUAUCGACUGAUGUUAGUCUUAGUUCAUUUUAUGUCGCUGGAAUCCGCCUGAGUUCGCGUUUGUUCUGGUUCAUAUUAGGGUUUGUUUGAAUAGAGUAAUUUCUCUUUCUCUUUUUAUUUUUCCUCAUAAUCUUUAGUUUGCAUAUUUUAGUAUUGGUUUAAUUUCAGUGUCUGUGAUCAUUAGAAUUUGUUAAGUCUUCAUCUCAGUAGUUUGUUUACUAAGUUUUAACAAUUUCCCCUUUGGUAAGAUUCAUUUGGUGAUAGAUUAUUUUUAUGAUUUUUGAUGUUGGUUCUUGUUAAAUAUAUUCAGGGUUGAUCUAACGGUUUAAUUGCGUAGUAAUUUGUUCCUUUGAUCCUUUCUUUUGUGUUAAUUCUUGUCUUGUGUUUUUAGUUUGGAUUUGUAAACAAAUUUGGCGUGUGGGGGGCUAAUCUAACAAAAGAAAACUUAAGGGGAUCAUGGAAGGGGUAUGCAAACAAAAGUUUGGACAUAAACUUCUAGAAUUUGGGACAACUGGCUCUAUUUGGCUAGCACAAAAAUGCUGAAAUCAAUUAGAGGCUGUAGAUUAUCCCAUUUUUGUUAUAAAGAUGCUUUUAGGAGUUGUGUGAGGGAAUAAUUCCCCGAUUUUUUUGUUUUCAGCACAUGUCACUUCAGUUGUAUAAUAUAAAACCCUCCACUUCACUCCUGAAAAAAACAUAGACCUAAAAAUCUUCUGGUGAUCCAGCUUCCUUUUCUGAUUUUUCUUUCUUUUAUAGAGAUUUUGGAAGAAAUUUUUCUCUAAAAAUUUCUGGGUUCUGGAGCUAAGAAUGGUUGAUAGAAAGAUUGUGCUGAGUAUUGUUGUUGUUUCUCACUAAUGUACCCAAAGAUGAUCUUAUUCUCGUAUUUCAUACUUCUAUUUGAGUAUGUGUUAUUAUCUCCACUUGUAGGUAUGUAAAUUCUCACCUAUUCUAUCCUAUUCUGAACUAAUGCAAUGAAAAGAUGUCUUCUCUAUGCUAUCUCUAUGAUUGAUUGCUAAAGAUUCAUGUUUAGUUGCUCGAGUCUCUUGUUUGAUUAUGAAAAUUUUCUAGUUGAGGUUUGGUAGUAAUUCUAAUGGUAGUAGAAGCCAGAUUCAAGUUAAUAUCAUGAGCUUACAAGCAUGUAAUCCAACUUAGCUUUGAUAUUUUGAUGGUUGUUGGUUUUUCGUUGGUUGACUCUAAAAUUUAUGAUUCAGUGAACUUUAAGUUUCUUUGAAAUGACCUUAGAAGAAGUUGUUUGGCAUGUAUUUUCUCUGAGUUUUUGUGUGUUAAAGUCAUGGAAAUGUUGUAAUCCUCCUAGCCGUUUGUUUUCAUUUGUUUUCAAUUGUGACAAUGUGGUUACAGAUUUUCAAGCUAGCUCUGUAGCUAGCCAUGCAAGUGCAAACUUGUUUUUGAAUAACCAAACCUCAUGGCCUGGAGUAGCUUGUAUUAGCGGAGGGUCGGCAUCUCUUGUGAAGCCCUAAUUAAUGAUUAACUAGAUAUUAGGGUUGUUGAGCUAUUAUGAUUUGAGUUUUGUAUAAAUUAUUUUAUUAAUCAUUCAUAUGUAUAAGUUGAUUUAGUUAUUCUUUGGAGUGGUUAGGCAUUAUUAAUUUACAGGAUUUAUGAAAUUUUUGAUUAAGUGUAGUUCAAGAGAUUCAACAGGCCUUGGUAGUGUUUGGGCCUGGCUUUGGCCCCAGUUGAGGCACCCUGUUUGAGACAAGGCACGAAAUGCUUUGAUUCUGUUUUGUGUUCGCUUCUAGGCUCAAUACCGAGUCCAAAUGUCUUCAGAAAAUUUCACCCAUCAAUUGGCUUACAAUAAUUUGAGGCACAACGUCCUCCUUUGGCCA